Long non-coding RNA from Argiope bruennichi, 1261 nucleotides. RefSeq lists it as uncharacterized. The transcript has 3 exons. NCBI's taxonomy places the organism in Eukaryota, Metazoa, Arthropoda, Arachnida, Araneae, Araneidae. The record is from RefSeq and is a predicted model, not a curated record.
UUUGAAUGAUCUCGUGUAUUGAAUGCGGAUGAAUUCUAAUUACCUUUCGAAUUGAAUGAAAAGCAGUAAUCGUGUAGAUCAGGGAUAUGAAAAUGUUUGGAAUUGUAAUCAAACUAAUCAUUAGGGAUAUUGGCUUUAAAUGCAGCUAUUUUGAAUGUAUAUGAAAGUAGGUAAAUUUCGUGUUGCAUAAAAAAAAUCUUUUUUCAUAAAGCUUAAACAGUCGGUACAGCUUUAAGGCAAAGGAGGUUGUUUCAUUCGAGAGCAAAUUUUAUUAAAGUGCGGGAUAAUCUUUAUAAUUCUUCCAAAAUUUAAAAUUAAACCCUAAACUGCUAGCUGCCCAUUCGUACAUUCUAACUUUAUGAAAACUUCUAAGACGCAUUGAAAUCCGAACAUUUGGCGUUUUGAUUGAAUACGGAAGAAUAAAUUUCUGAAUAUUCUACAAAAGUUUCUUUCAAGUGACGAAAGUGCCAUAAUUAUGUAGAUUUUACUUGGUAUAGUCUAAUGAUAAAGGGAAGAGAAGUAGCUAUUUUUUUUCUUGUGCCGUUUCUGAAAAUAUGCAGAAUAAAUAUUUAAUUUCGCAAGUUUCUAGGGUUAAAAUAACCUUAAAAAUCAUUAAACUGCCUCAUUCGUACCAGGAAGUCUGUUUUGAAUCCAUCAGUUUUCACUAAUUUAAAGGAAAUGCAGCUUCACAGAAAUUAUCAACUAAACAAAUCCUGCAGUUAUUAGAGCAGCUCUGCCGACAACUCAGAUGUUUGUUGAAGCAAUGCCUUUCCCCCAUAUGUGGAAUGACUGCCUUCUCGGCUCUUGGCAAAAAUUGUGUUGAUAGCAGCCAUCUGGAGGGCCAGAUUUCCUCUCGGUUCCAUACAAAAGUAAUAUCGGUUGGACAGCUUACCUAUGUCCAUGCCAUUUUAUUUAGCAAAGACAAGACGUCAUCACCAGAACUGUUUUUUCAGUUCCAUGUACAUGCUAUUUCCACCAAUGCUGGAUGCGAGGAAGUAUUUUAAGAUGACAAAGUACAAGAAAUUUAAGGAAACAAUGUUGAAGAUGAUCACGUGAUCCAAGUGAUCACGGUACAACAGAUAAUAUGGAGCUUCAACAGGCGCAUAUUAGAAUUCGCAUCCUAUGGAAUCAGACUAACAGACCAGAUUUAUUGGAUGAUUUCUAAAUCCUGAAAUAUUAGACUAAGCUUAAUAUAUCAACUUUGUGCAAAAAUUACCGGAAUUUUAAGGACCUGCACAGUGAAUUGAAAGUGAAAGAAAUA